Molecule: long non-coding RNA, 1425 nt
Filed under: Sinocyclocheilus anshuiensis
Lineage: Eukaryota; Metazoa; Chordata; Actinopteri; Cypriniformes; Cyprinidae
Description: lncRNA (ENSSANG00000005547.1)
Source: RNAcentral
AAUGUUCACAGUGUUCCUACCUGAAUUUCAUGGGGUGGCAGAUGCAGUUCUCUAUCCGUGGCAGCAGCAGUGAAGUGCCUCGCUCUCCUGUCACCUUGGAUCUUUCCCUCGCGCGCUCUCUAACACACAUCAUUUUCAUGGGCUAUAGCGCCGCUCAGUGGAUAUAUCAGAUUCCUCUCUACUCGGUUACAUAGUUUAUGAGGACCUUGGAGGACAAACAGAAACGUCCUGUCCUUUGGCCGCUUCGUUUCUUGUUUAAAUGUCUGCAUUUGUAAUAGUCACUAUGUCUAGCAACUAUAAUGAACCUCAUAAAUGUCAUUACGCGUGAUGUUUACGCCGUACGAGGACCACGCGGUGUUUACUGACGCGAUGCAAGUAACAUAGUUGAAAAAUCAGUCCCAGCUGCAGAUAUCAAAAAGGAUUUUUAAACGGGAGGCAUUCUAGUUAAAAAGAGGAAGAUGGAGAAUUAUCGAUCCCUUAUCCCGAAGGUGUCCGCCGUAUGCAGAUGUCCCAAAGGUGCACCAGAGAAGGGUCCUGAGAGCAUCGGGGUGGUGGCCGAGCCCUACACCCACAUUGUUGGAGAAGAGCUCCAUCUUCAGGAGCCAGACUGGAGCAGAUACAAGAGCCCUCCAGCAUACGAACACAUGUGAACAUCCUUUAUGAGAUUACAGUCGAACCUCAGAUGCUGCCCAGCACACAGAGAUCAUAUCAUAUAUGGCAGACAUCCACCUUUGUCAUCUCACUGAGGCAAGUUUGUUCUCCUCUGUUAUUGUCAUCAGUGCAUUCUUGCCUUCAGUAAGUGCAUGUAUCGCUCUUAAAAGGGUAGUUCACCCAAAAAAUGAAAAUUCAGUCUUCAUUUGCUCAGUGUUUUUUUUCCAUACAAUGAAAGUCAAGGGUCACUGAAACUUUUUGGUUACCAGCAUUCUUCAUAAUAUCUUGUGUGUUACGCAUAGAACAAAAGUUGUACAGUUUUGGAACAACAUGAGGGUGAGGGCUGAGGGUGCACACAGUAAAUGAUGACAGAAGUUUACAUAAUUGGUUGAACUGUCCCUUUAAGAAAUAAUAAGAAUAAUUCAUUAUCUCUUUCUCCCACCCUUUAUUUUAAAGGCUCUCUCUCAUCAUUGUUACCUGGAGAUUGAAUUGCUUUCGGGAAAGGAUAUAUUAAAUAGUAGCUUUUUAUAAUCCAGGUUUUAGCGAAUGACUAUACCGCAAAAGAACUUGCACCACCUAUUAUCAUUUUAAUACUUCACCACACUCAUUUCAAUCUGGCUGCUGACAAAAUGAUUUCUUAAAGUAGUCUUAGGAAAGAGAAAGUCAUUUAUUCCACAGUUCACCAGCCGAUAACUUCAAAAAGAUAAGGGAGUCACAUAAUGGAGUGAAUUUUAAGGCAUAUUAAGAGAAAUAUGGAGAUGAUGGCCAGCAAAA